Molecule: ribosomal RNA, 460 nt
Filed under: uncultured bacterium
Lineage: Bacteria
Description: partial 16S ribosomal RNA
Rfam family: Bacterial small subunit ribosomal RNA
Source: RNAcentral
CCUACGGGAUGCAGCAGUGAGGAAUAUUGGUCAAUGGACGAGAGUCUGAACCAGCCAAGUAGCGUGAAGGAUGACUGCCCUAUGGGUUGUAAACUUCUUUUAUAUGGGAAUAAAACGUUCCACGUGUGGGAUUUUGUAUGUACUAUAUGAAUCAGGAUCGGCUAACUCCGUGCCAGCAGCCGCGGUAAUACGGAGGAUCCGAGCUUUAUCCGGAUUUAUUGGGUUUAAAGGGAGCGUAGGUGGAUUGUUAAGUCAGUUGUGAAAUUUUGCGGCUCAACCGUAAAAUUGCAGUUGAUACUGGCAGUCUUGAGUACAGGAGAGGUAGGCGGAAUUCGUGGUGUAGCGGUGAAAUGCUUAGAUAUCACGAAGAACUCCGAUUGCGAAGGCAGUUCACUAGACUGCAACUGACACUGAGGCUCGAAAGUGUGGGUAUCAAACAGGAUUAGAUACCCGAGUAGUC